UCUCUCGUCUCUUUUGAUCUCUGUCGAUUGCUUUCUUUCUCCUCCCCCCGUUCACAAUUAUAAAUGUCCUAAUCCUCGGGCGAAGCUUCCAGAAGGCUUCAUCCGUACGUUCUUUCCCUCUCCGCGCGAGCUAGGUGGUCUCUGACGCAUCUAGAAACUACUACGGUUUCUGCGGGUCUCAGAUCCGGCCGGGAAGAGGAGGCUGCGGCCAGAUAUAUGGCCGAGCAGCAGAGCGCCGCCAUCGCCGCGGCGGCGGAAGGCGCUGGUGGAGAGCCGCCGGUGCCGGUUCCGGCGGCGUUAGUGGCGCCGGCGGAUGCGGCAGGACAGAGGUCGCUGCCGACGCCGUUCCUGACGAAGACGUACCAGCUGGUGGAAGACCCGGCGGUGGACGACGUGAUCUCGUGGAACGAGGACGGAUCAACGUUCGUGGUCUGGCGGCCGGCGGAGUUCGCGCGGGACCUCCUCCCCAAGUACUUCAAGCACAACAACUUCUCAAGCUUCGUGCGGCAGCUCAACACCUACGGAUUUAGGAAGAUCGUGCCGGACCGAUGGGAGUUCGCAAACGAUUGCUUCCGGCGAGGGGAGAAGCGCCUGCUGUGCGACAUCCACCGGCGGAAGGUUGUCCAGUCGUCGGCGGGCCUGGCGGCGGCUGCAGCCGCCGCGGCCGCCGGAGCUGUGACGGUCGCCACGGCGGCUAUCCCCAUGGCGCUCCCGGUGACGCGGUCGGGCUCCCCGGAGCCGCACUCCUCCGAGGAGCAGGUUCUGUCGUCCAACUCCGGCUCCGCGGAGGAGCGCCUGCCUGGGCCGUCCGGGUCUGGCUCCGGCCUUGGCGGCGGCGCCGGCGGCGGCUCCUCCUCCGGUGAUUUGGGCGAAGAGAACGACCGGCUGCGUCGGGACAACACGCGGUUGACCCGCGAGCUGGGGCAGAUGAAGAAGCUCUGCAACAACAUCGUCCUCCUCAUGUCCAAGUACGCCGCCACCCAGCAACCGGACGGCCCCGCGUCGCUGUCCUCCGUGGUGAACUGCUCCGGCGAGUCCGCCCUGGCGCCUCCACCGCCGCUCCCGACGGCGAUACUGGACCUAAUGCCCUCGUGCUCGGCGCUCGCCACGGCCGCCGGCCUCGCCGUCGACGGGGAGCCCGACACGAGCGCGAGGCUGUUCGGCGUCUCCAUCGGGCAGAAGCGGUCGCGAGACAGCGACGACGGCGGCGGACGUGAGGAGGACCCCAGAGACGACGGCGGCGAGGGCGCGGACGUGAAGCCGGAGCAGGCGGAUCGGCGCCCCGACAGCCAGGAGCGGUCGCCGGACGGCCCGGACCAGCAUUCGUGGCCGAUAUACCGGCCCAAGCCCGUGUACCGGGCCUGCAACGGGCCGGAUGGGGCCGGGUCGGACCAAGACAGGUCCAACUCAAGGUGAGCUGGCAAGCAGCCCUGCCUAUAGAAGAAGCUUCGAGCACCUACUAAUUAUUAAUGAAGCAACCAAAAAUAAUAUUCCUACACAACAGCAUUAGUAGAGACAACGAUAGCGGCUUGCUCUGCUAGCCAGGGGAACUCUCCCCUUCCGUCUCUAUCUCUAUGUAACCUAAUCUACUUUAUUUCAUUUGCUUUAUAAGAUGUGUACCCCUAAUAAGCUGAUUGAUCGUUGUUCAUGGCUCCGGCCGUGGAAAUGGGUAGGAGUAUAACAUUUCCCGGACGUUUCUUCCUGCAGCGGCCGGGUGUGAAAUGGUUUAUGGGAUGGCAAGUCCGUGCACGGCUAUGAUACGCUGGGCAUUUAUAGACGGUGCGGCACGUAAACCCCCAGACGUCAUCCAGGCACUCGCUAGAAGGCUCGAGCAGGAAUGCGCCUUGUCCUCGGCAUGGGGCAAAAGAUGGCGACACGCUCUCCAAUCGUUGCAGGCCAGACAUGCGCAGUGCAGUGAACGUGCGCUGCCUUUCUCCGGAGUGUUUUCUAUUGCCGUCUUCUCUUUCUUUUCUUUACUUUUCGAAUGUGUAAUCUCCACGUCAGGGAGACACAUGUUGCGCCGCUACUAGCCAGUUGGAUCCC
RNA transcript from Brachypodium distachyon (stiff brome), 2043 nucleotides. It is a transcript of the gene named heat stress transcription factor B-2c, with no coding region annotated. Lineage: Eukaryota; Viridiplantae; Streptophyta; Magnoliopsida; Poales; Poaceae. The transcript has 3 exons. The record is from RefSeq and is a predicted model, not a curated record.